CCUACGGGUGGCAGCAGUCGAGAAUCAUUCACAAUGGGGGAAACCCUGAUGGAGCGACGCCGCGUGGGGGAAUGAAGGUCUGCGGAUUGUAAACCCCUGUCAUGUGGGAGCAAAGUAAAAAGAUAGUACCACAAGAGGAAGAGACGGCGAACUCUGUGCCAGCAGCCGCGGUAAUACAGAGGUCUCAAGCGUUGUUCGGAAUCACUGGGCGUAAAGCGUGCGGAGGCGGUUUCGUAAGUCGUGUGUGAAAGGCGCGGGCUCACCCCGCGGACGGCACAUGAUACUGCGAGACUAGAGUAAUGUCGGGGGAACCGGACUUCUCGGUGUAGCCG
Molecule: ribosomal RNA, 332 nt
Filed under: uncultured bacterium
Lineage: Bacteria
Description: partial 16S ribosomal RNA
Rfam family: Bacterial small subunit ribosomal RNA
Source: RNAcentral